Molecule: unclassified non-coding RNA, 246 nt
Filed under: plant metagenome
Description: partial contains small subunit ribosomal RNA, internal transcribed spacer 1, and 5.8S ribosomal RNA
Rfam family: Eukaryotic small subunit ribosomal RNA (bases 1-49)
Source: RNAcentral
GGAAAGUCGUAACAAGGUCUCCGUAGGUGAGCCUGCGGAGGGAUCAUUACAGAGUUCAUGCCCUACCGGGUAGAUCUCCCACCCUAUGUUAUUAUUACUUUGUUGCUUUGGCGGGCCGUUAGGCUCCGGCCCGACUACCGGCCCCGGCUGGUAAGCGCCCGCCAGAGGACCCAAAACCCUGAAUAUUAGUGUCGUCUGAGUACUAUAUAAUAGUUAAAACUUUCAACAACGGAUCUCUUGGUUCUG